CCUACGGGGGGCAGCAGUGAGGAAUAUUGGUCAAUGGGCGAGAGCCUGAACCAGCAAAGUCGCGUGAAGGAUGACGGCCCUACGGGUUGUAAACUUCUUUUGUCAGGGAGCACUUGGGUCCACGCGUGGGCUUAGCGAGAGUACCUGAAGAAAAAGCAUCGGCUAAGUCCGUGCCAGCAGCCGCGGUAAUACGGAGGAUGCGAGCGUUAUCCGGAUUUGUUGGGUUUAAAGGGUGCGUAGGCUGAAUAUCAAGUCAGCGGUAAAAAUUCGGGGCUCAACCCCGUCGUGCCGUUGAAACUGAUGUUCUUGAGUGGGCGAGAAGUAGGCGGAAUGCGUGGUGUAGCGGUGAAAUGCAUAGAUAUCACGCAGAACUCCGAUUGCGAAGGCAGCAUACCGGCGCCCAACUGACGCUGAAGCACGAAAGCGUGGGGAUCGAACAGGAUUAGAUACCCGGUAGUC
Molecule: ribosomal RNA, 459 nt
Filed under: uncultured bacterium
Lineage: Bacteria
Description: partial 16S ribosomal RNA
Rfam family: Bacterial small subunit ribosomal RNA
Source: RNAcentral